CGCACUUCCGGUAGCGCAUCUUUCGAGAGAUGAAGGUACAGCGAGAACCGCUAGCCGACUUGGGGAGGGCAGCGAAAGGGAUGUUGAUGAGACUGUGAGAACUGGAUUGUCUGGAGAAAAGGAAAAGAGUCCUGAAGUCAGCCUAUCAAACUACCUGGAAGGAGUUUCAUUAUAAUCUAGGAACCAGAUGUAGGGUCGUUGCUUCACAAUCAUGAUGGACGGAUGAUGGACUGAUGAUGGACCAUUUAAAGGAAUAUAAUUAAGCAAGUGUAUAA
Long non-coding RNA from Arvicola amphibius (Eurasian water vole), 275 nucleotides. RefSeq lists it as uncharacterized. NCBI's taxonomy places the organism in Eukaryota, Metazoa, Chordata, Mammalia, Rodentia, Cricetidae. The transcript has 3 exons. The record is from RefSeq and is a predicted model, not a curated record.